This 242-nucleotide ribosomal RNA is filed under the name uncultured bacterium. Its description in RNAcentral is "partial 16S ribosomal RNA". It matches the Rfam family "Bacterial small subunit ribosomal RNA", at positions 93 to 334 of the family's 1533-position model. The record is from RNAcentral.
CCCGGGCGCACGGGUGAGUAACGAGUAUGCAACUUGCCUAUCAGAGGGGGAUAACCCGGCGAAAGUCGGACUAAUACCGCAUGAAGCAGGGAUCCCGCAUGGGAAUAUUUGCUAAAGAUUCAUCGCUGAUAGAUAGGCAUGCGUUCCAUUAGGCAGUUGGCGGGGUAACGGCCCACCAAACCGACGACGGAUAGGGGUUCUGAGAGGAAGGUCCCCCACAUUGGUACUGAGACACGGACCAA